GAUGAACGCUGGCGGUAUGCUUAACACAUGCAAGUCGAACGGACUCUUCGGAGUUAGUGGCGGACGGGUGAGUAACGCGUGAGAAUCUAGCUUUGGGUUCGGGACAACCACUGGAAACGGUGGCUAAUACCGGAUGUGCCGAGAGGUAAAAGAGAAAUUGCCUGAAGAUGAGCUCGCGUCUGAUUAGCUAGUUGGUGAGGUAAAGGCUCACCAAGGCAGCGAUCAGUAGCUGGUCUGAGAGGAUGACCAGCCACACUGGGACUGAGACACGGCCCAGACUCCUACGGGAGGCAGCAGUGGGGAAUUUUCCGCAAUGGGCGAAAGCCUGACGGAGCAAUACCGCGUGAGGGAAGAAGGCUCUUGGGUUGUAAACCUCUUUUCUUAGGGAAGAACAAAAUGACGGUACCUAAGGAAUCAGCAUCGGCUAACUCCGUG
RNAcentral lists this ribosomal RNA (435 nucleotides) under uncultured bacterium. RNAcentral's name for it is "partial 16S ribosomal RNA". It matches the Rfam family "Bacterial small subunit ribosomal RNA", at positions 28 to 507 of the family's 1533-position model. The record is from RNAcentral.